This 72-nucleotide transfer RNA is filed under the name Candidatus Gottesmanbacteria bacterium RIFCSPHIGHO2_01_FULL_47_48. Its description in RNAcentral is "tRNA-Ile". It matches the Rfam family "tRNA". Rfam says of the family: Transfer RNA (tRNA) molecules are approximately 80 nucleotides in length. Their secondary structure includes four short double-helical elements and three loops (D, anti-codon, and T loops). The record is from RNAcentral. Lineage: Bacteria; Candidatus Gottesmaniibacteriota.
GCGCAAGUAGUUCAAUGGUAGAACGCCGUCCUGAUAAGACGGAGGUUCAUGGUCCGAUUCCAUGCUUGCGCA